AGAGUGGAGGCUCCUUUAAUCUUGACAGCCCGAAUGCUACAGGGGUCACAGCACAUCUGCUCCGGAGGAAAGACAAAGGGCAAGCACAUCUCAGGAUGGGGCAAUAUUUGGUGAGAACCAUAUUGGAUUCUACCAAAUUACAAAUAUAUUCCAGAUUUUACCCCAAUCCUGGUUUCCCACCUUGAAAAUGAGUGCCAGGGGUCAUAAGGAAGACUGAAAGAGAACAUAGAGAGUUCAGUGCAAAUCUAUUGCCGUUACCAGACAGUAAUUCAACAGCUUCAUCUUUGAACCAUUAGGUUGGCCUGAUCACUCACUCACCACUCCCUGCAACUCCAUGGAGAAGAUAUAAGCUGUCAAAAAUGUAUUUAGGACCUUUGGAGAUGUGAAUGAAAACAGCUGUCUGAACAAGUGGUACCCUAACUAGCGCGGCUGUGAGUCUGAAGCUUGAAAUGGGGAAGUUGGUCAGCAUGGGUGAGCUAUGCAGCCCAGGUGAAGGGAUCCUCAAGCAGCAGCCUCUGCCUUUUUGUCUUCUCCUUUUCACGGAGAUGACAAGAAUCACCCCAGGACUUAUCUUCUGAGGUGCUCAGCUGUGGUCCCAGUGCUGCUUUGGUCACUGCUAUGGCGGGUGGAAGCAGGAUGGGUGAAGUCAUUCUGGAGAACAAGCAGCAACAGGACAGAUCUUAGAUUUCUGGAAGAGCUUCACCAUCCUGAACACACGUGGGAGAAAAGUGAGUCAAAUUGAGAAAGCAGAGCAAAAGGGUGGGGCAGGGGUUGGACACACAGAAACCAUUCCCCUCCCCUACCUUUUGUUCCCUCAAAAUGGACCUCAUAGCUUCGGGAGGGAAUUAGAAUAUAAAAUGGGAUGGCCAACCAAAGGAGAGCUUAUUGGUAGAAAAAUGUGAUGGCUUCCAACCGGCCUUCCACCACUUCCAUCCCAAAGCUUCCAGCCCAAAGCUUCCAGCCCAAAGCUUCAUCUGACCCCUAAGACUGGCCUGAGUAUGAUUAGACCACCAGAAUCAAUAAAAUAUGGUGAGCUGGGUGGUUACUCAAUAAGGAAAUACAGGUUGAGCAUGCCUAAUUUGAAAAUGCCAAAUCUGAAAUGCUCCAAAAUCCAAAACUUUCUGAGUGCCAACAUGACAUAGUGACACCUUUGCUUUCUGAUGGCUCAGUGUACACAAUCUUUGUUUCAGGCACAAAAUUAGUACAAAUAUUGUAUAAAAUUACCUUCAGGCUAUGUGUAUAAGAUGUAUAUGAACCAUAAAAACAUCUUGUGUUUAGACUUGGGUCUCAUCCCCAAGAUAUCUCAUUCUGUAUGUGCAAGUAUUCCAAAAUCCCAAAACCCAGAAAUGCAAAGUACUUCUGGUCUCAAGCAUUUUGGGUAAGGGGUACUCAACCUGUAGCACAUGGAUGUGAUGCUGUGGAGGCCCCACGACCCAAAGUGUCUUAUGGGUCAUAACACAAACGGGCUUAAUCCCACUCUUAAGAGGUUUAUCUUGGGUGGGGGAGCAGCCCCUUCACCAAGGGCUCUGUCUGACAUUAUGACUAGAGGCCACCAAAAGACAAUGUAAAUGACAAUGUCACUGAUGACUACUGACAGUGGGAACAUCCACCAAACCUAGGGACUUUACUCUGAUGUCUCAUGUAUUCAUGCCUGUCUAAUUCCCUGAGCAGCUAAACUAUCACUUUCAGUGAUUAUCACUCUGGCAAAAUCUAAGUGGACUCCCAGGGGGUGGGGGAAGAAAACUGCAUGUGCAUACAUAAGAGUGGAAGCUGCGUAAAUGUGUGUGUGCUUGCAUUUGUGCAUGCAAGUGGUGAGAAGCUGAGGGUCUGAGCAGUUUUCCGAGACUCCCCAGAAUACAGAAGGCUUGUGGUGCAUAUGGGAGAACUGACAAGUAUACCAGAAGGUGAGGAAAUGGCUGGAAGCAACACUAAUGCCACUCCAUCUGGAAAGAGGGGUACUGUUUAGUACGUCUGGAAAGCAUUAUUUCUGCAAAUAGCUCAACCUCUAUCAACUUUCAGGCAGGGAUCCCGAUCUGCUGCCAAAAUGAGAUCUCCCUUACGGCAAUGUGGUGGGAGCGGCUGAGCAAAUGAACUAAUAGCACAAAGCAGGAAAUCUGUAGAGAUGGCAGCCGGUAAGGUACCACACAGCAAGCACCUGCUUCUCUCCAAAAAGACAGCCGGGGCUUCGCAUCACAUUAGGCCAGGGCUGCACUGGGGGAGAGCCGAGCCUGGUGGGAUUUUUGGGCUCAGCAGCCAUUUCCAACAAUUUCUCACAAUUUUUGGGCUCAGAAAAGCCCCAAAUAGAGUUAGCCAAAUGGCUUUCCUGCAUUGAUUUUUAUACCCGUGGGUAUUUUGAAGGAAAUUAAAUCCAUGUGUCUCUGAUUCGGUUGCCAUUAGCACAUGAAAACGCUGUUUUGUGAGAAUUAUGGUAUGCCGUGGGUGCCUUCGCACAGUGCUGCUAAAUGCCAUAAAACCGUCUAGCCAGACACGGAGGUGCAAGAAGCCGGGUGCGUUCUGCUAUACGCCAUUUCCCUGCCUGUCCAGAAGGCAACAUGUUUUUGUCAUUUGCAUCCUUUCUGAAUGUAGCACAACAUGUUUUCUCGUGCCUGUUAAUCAUCUAUCAUUUCCAAUUUGAAUGAAGCCGUAUUAGUGUAGAUGAUGAGAAAUUGCCCUUAACCACUAAUAGCUGGACAGGAUUCAUAGGAAAGCUGCCACAAGGACUGGUGCUGGCCUCCAGGUCCAGGGACAAAGAGGCCAGCUGAAAAGUAUCCCCAGAAAGGCCAUUCAGGCUCCAGUUUGCAACCUUUAGAAGCAGGUGAGCAUGCACUGGCUGUGAGAGAGGGUGAGGAACCCUGGUCUGAGAUCAGGGCUGGGGGGGCUCCUCUGGGCCCCACUACUGACUGCCUCUGAACUUCCUCUGUAUUGAUCACCUGGUUGAAUGCCAUCAGUUUAGGGCUCUUUCUGGGCCUGACAUUCUAUGAAUUAAAAUCUAGCCCCAAUACGUCCUUAGUGAUCAACUUCACUGCAUGGUUGCAUGUAUUAAAUCCCUACUGUGUUCAAUGUUUUAUGCUCAAUGUUGAGGGCAGAAAGAUGAAAAACCUGUUUUUGCCUUUGGAGGGAAGAUGAAAAAAGGAAGGGGAGAGGACUGGUUAUUGACUGUGAGUCAGGCAGAGUGUGGGAGCUUUAUUCGUCAAUCUCACAUCAUUGGCAAGAAUUUUCUAACGUAUGCAUUAUCACCCCUAUUUGAUGAAUGGAAUUUUACUGAGUCAGGAGGGGUGAGUAAUUUGCUCUUGGACAAGAGCUUGGAAAUGUAGGAGUUGGGAUAUGGGGUCUCUUUUCUAUGACUCCAAAUUUCGUGUUAUUUUCUCUCCUCCUUACUGUCGCUUAUAAUUUAAUGUGAUAAGUUUCAAAUAUACACAAAUCUAAUAUUUUAUAUCUAGAAUUACAGGGAGGGAGUGCCUAAUUCUGCUUUGGGAACAUUGGAAGACUUCACUAAGAAAAUGACAUUUGCUUUGAGUUUUGAAAGAUGAGCAGAAGUUGACCCAGUGGAGAUGGGAGAUGGGUUGGGGAUGGCAGAGGGAACAGUGUGUGCAAAGAGAUAGAGUGAAAAGGGGGCAAAGUGUUUCAGGAACUGAAAUCAUGCCACUUACCUCAUUUGUGUAACACUGAUUAAUGUAUAAACUGCUGAAACAUUUCAGGUCACAUUUCUCCUAUAGACACAAUUAUAUCUUGAUUGUACGUUUUCUGGAGCUCCAGUCUAGUCUCAUCAUUCCAUCUACUGGGCUAUGGAGGAUCAUCUUUGAGAUCAGGCGGCAUCUCAGCAAGUGGCUUGGUUGACUUUGACUUUGGCAGCCUUGACUAACUCAGUGGAAAAGGGGUUUUCUACAUUUACCUCCAUUCAUGUUAUUGUCUACAAUGUUUUGCUCCUCACUUGCAAUAGAAGAAAGAAAGUUAGUCAAGAGCACAGCUGGUGGCAAUUUUGCUCUGAAUUCAGAGGUUGUGGAGCAAACAGGAAAUUUCAUGCUGCAGCCGUGGUGGAGGCCAACUGAGCUUUAGUGACUUACAUGGUGUGUCCACAACCUGCUUCCCGUGAAAUUGCCUAUAAGCAUGGACAACCUGGGAAGCUGCGGCUGAGCUGCUUCUCUAGAAGCCUCUCUGGAUUUCAUAACUAGGCUCCUUCUAGCAUUUAGUAAAACUGUACUCUCCUAUGCCUUAGAUUGACUGAACUUGGCCUGUGCCCUAUUUUAAAAGUCAGCUGGGCUUCUAAAGCAUGAGAGUAGGCAGUCCAUGGAGAGUCGUCUUCUCCCAUCGUAAAGAUUCAGGAGAUCUCUCAACUCCUGGCAAGGAGUAUGCUGUGUUCCUGGCUGAACGAACUCACUUACCUCAGUCUAGAACUUAACCUGAGGCACGCACACCUUUGGUAAUGUUUGUGAUUCUAAUGAUGUCUAAACUGAUCCUCCUGGCCUGGUGUCAGCCACUUGUGAGAAUCUCACACUCCAUUUAGACUCAGGAGACCUACUUCUCAUCCAGAAUAUUUUCCUAAAAAAAAUAAACUUCAUCCUGUGUCAAAUGAAAGGGUCAAACUCAACAAUCACUAAGGUCCUAUCAGCUCUAGAAUGUUCUAAUUUAUCUUAUUCUAGCUUUGCUGGAAGUUGAGACCAGCUGUUUACUCUCAUUAAGAGAGAGUCUCACUCUCCCAUUAUCAUUCUAGAAUGUCUUAAGCUCCCAUAUCCUCAUCUUAGCUUUUGCUCUUUGCUCCACUAAAGCAAAUCUCCAUUUAUUUGGCCUUUUCUCAGAGGGACAAUUUUCCCAAACAUAUCAUCAUCCAUGUAGACAUGGAACCUUUUGGGACCCUCUCUAAGGUCUUUACAUCAUCCUGCAAUUGUACCUUCCAAGCAGAACACCAAUACAAGCUUAACUGGAGUGGGAUGAUGUGGUUGGGUAUGGAUACAGUCAGAUUCUGCCUUUCCAAGCCUUGCUUCUGUGAGAGCUAAACAAUUUCAGGGAGCUUGCAGCCCACUGUCAUCUGCAGUUGGGUUCAUUUAGAGUAGAGGCCACGUUAGCUGUAUUAUAAACAUGGUGGCCAACAAUGAAUGGCCUGGACUCAUUCUCCUCUUGGCUUGUGCAGAGAGAGGCCAGUCAGGUGGCUUAGAGACGUUGUUGGCAGGAACCAUCACUGCCUCUAUUUGGGAAUGAAGGACCAUAAAUGGUGGCUGCCUUCCAAACUGCCAAUAAAUAAGUAAAUAUAGAGAGUGUUGACAUUGGUCUCCCUGCCAAACACCAGUCUGCUUCUAUUCUCAUUUUGGGGGAAACGAAAGAGAGAAGGAUUAUUGAAUAGGCUUUUGAGAAGUAGCCUCAGUUCUACUUGGAAUCUCUUCCCUUUUUGGAAACAUUUCAGUCGGCUUUCUGGCCCUUAUUGGAGAGAGAGACAAUUCUGUCAAACAUGAGAUUGUGUUAGCUUAUUCAUAAUAAUGAUCAGCAAUAGGCUGAAAUUGAGCCACUUCUAAGGUUGAACUGUUGUCAACAGAUACUUCAGCUAUAGUUUGGAAUAACAGCUUAGCCCCUGAGAGGGAGGGUGUGAAUUUAGCAUGCAGCCAACUCCAAGACAGUUUAAGGUGCUGGCCAAGCACGUGGCACUUUAGGAAUACUCAGCUUUGGGGCUCAACUUCCUCUCAGCCCACAGAUUUACCAGGUUUUUAACCCCUGCCUCCUGAGUUAGAAGGUUUUGUGAAUUGAUUCAGUCUGAAGUUGGACAACAUGGCAGCAUGUUUCUCAGCAUGGAAGGCAUUGAGAAGACAUAGCUUGCUUACUUUUGCAUGCCUCAUGCUUAACAUGGUGUCUGUCACAUCAAAGGCACUUCAUAUCUACUUGUGCAAUGGAUGAAUGAAUUUAGAGAUGCUUUGCUUCCUCUCUGCUGUUAUCAAUAAUCUCAGACUGUUCCUGUAUUUUGAAUUACUCCAGAGCCACACUCUAGGAUAUCUGAAGUUUAGGAUUUGGCUCUUUCACAUGCUUCUGUUGCCACCUACCCAUGUCCAACUAUCUUCUCCUUAACACCUACCCCACCAGCAUGAUGGAGGGCUCUCUAUAAAGGCUCUCCUAGCCCAUGCUGCACACACUUUUUCCUGUUCUGAAGCAUGUCUCUAGAAAUUCUACACACUUGCUUCCCCCCUUUAAAAAAAUCAUUUCACUCCUUUCCUGUUCCUUUUCCCACUUCUCUUGAGAACUUUCAAGAGCCUGCAAUAUAAACAGCUCUAAAUGAGAAAAUCUGACUGAGAAACUGAGGAAAGAGAAGGCCAAGGGCCAAUGGAGGAGUCGGGCACAAUAACUUCUCUUUUCAUGAGAUUCGGUGGGGUUUUCUCCUUGGAUGGCUGGUCUCCUGGGCAGAGCUGCUAGCCUUAAAGGGCCACAUACGUUAGAUUUCCACGGUUGUGUUUUGUUUGUUUGUUUGUUUGUUUUUGAGAUGGAGUCCCGCCCUGUCGCCCAGGCUGGAGUGCAAUGGCGCGAUCUCAGUUUACUGCAACCUCCACCUCCCGGGUUCAAGCGAUUCCCUUGCCUCAGCCUCCCAUGUAGCUGUGACUACAGGCACACACUACCAUGACUGGCUAAUUUUUUUUUUUUUUUUGUAUUUUUAGUAGAGACGGGGUUUCACCAUGUUGACCAGGGUGGUCUCGAACUCUUGACCUCAGGUGAUCCACCUGCCUUCGCCUCCCAAAGUGCUGGGAUUACCGCAUGAGCGCACCCGGCCUCCAUGGUUGUUUUGACAGCUGAAGUGCAAAGGAAUUAAUUUUUCUAUUUUAUGUUAUUUUAAAAAUAAUUUUACCUUUUAUUUUAGAUUCAGGGGGUACAUGUAUAGGUUUGUUACAUGGGUAUAUCGCAUGAUACUGAGUUUUGAGUUAUGAAUAACCCUGUCACCCAAGUAGUGAGUAUAGUAUCCAAUAGUUAUUAUAGUUUUUCAGCCCUUUCCCCUCUUUCUUACUGGCCCCUACCCCCAGUAGUCCCCAGUGUCUACUGUUCCCAUCUUUAUGGCCAUGUGUACCCAAUGCUUAGAUGCCACUUAUAAGUGAGAACAUGUGGUAUUUUGUUUUCUGUUCCUGUGUUAGACAUUAACCCUUUAAGUCAAAGUCUUCUAUAGUUUAGUUACUGCUUUUCUUCAAAGUGUGAUUUAUUAUUCACCUCUUAAGGCAUGAGUGUCAGAGCACAUUCACACGCACACACACUGGAUGCUACUGGGUUUUUUACGAGUUUAGACAUGACCGAUUUCCCUGCACAUCCUCACGGCAUCUGAAUAACCCAAGACUUCCUACUAAUGGUUUCAAGAGGAGACUUUCAGGUAAUUAGGGAGAUUCUGUUUUCCAAGAAAAGCUCUUCUUUUCAGAAGUCUGAUUCCAAGGAGUUGUAGAUGAUUGCUUCAUUUUGGGAGCUGGUAUAGUUUAACGAGCAGCUUAUGCCACACUGAUCUCUAGCAUAUUUGUAUCGACAAGGAGACACAAGCCUGCAUGAUUGUGGUUUUUUCCCUAGGUUCCUAAUAGACCUUUGUUAUUUAUAUUUUUAAUUGUGUGAAAGUACCUGAAAGCUUAGUGGCAAAGAAGACAGUUGUAAAAAAUUGAAUAAAUAAAUACAUUUAAAAAAAUCCAAGUUAGUGAUGUCUGACUUCCUCUAUUCAUGUUAUUGCUACUCUUGUUGCUUUUUGGUUUUUGUUUUGCUUCUUGACUGUUGUUGUUUUCCAGGAAAGCUGUCAUUUAUCGUGAGAACAAGAGCAGCCAUGUGUUGAUUUUUCUGGAUUCUUUUUGGAUACUAUCCCAGUGCUAAUGAAGGCCCUUCCAAAGUGCUAAAGAGCUGGUGCCAAAAUCAGUUACGCUGAAAACAAUAGAGAGUGGUACACAGACAGCAUAUAUAUACCCGUAUAUGUAUACGCACGCCUCGAUAUCUGAAUUAAUACGUGUGUGUGCACCUCCCUCUGUUUAUGCAAAUAUACACACGCAUCUGUGCAAACACAUAAUGUGUGCGCCGGAGCUACACUGAGGAGAAUGUGACGGCUGCAUUUUAAUAAAAGGACUUUUUAUAGCUGCUUGCAGAAAAUUUUUCUUUGAUCAAGGGAUGAGCAAAGUUUCUAAAUGUUGCAGCGCCCGAAUUUGUCAGUUUGGAAGCUACUAAAAAUGUACUUUCAUCAGUUAAAAAAUUUAGGGAGGAAAAUAAAUAUUAUAGAUAGUAUUUGUUUUACUAGGAGAUGAGGAUACUACUACAAGAAGCACCUGGAAAGUGCUUAGCAUAGGCUUGGUUGCUGUGCUUAUAUUAACAAAUUCUUUAACAUGGAUGUUUGCGUACUUUAGAGGUAGUUUAUUAGCUGAAAGAGGGGACAUUUUGUAGCUGGGCUCUCUGUGCCCUCAAUAGAUUUUCCCUGCCUUUCUCCCAAUGUGUAAUUAUUCUGUCCUCAAUUUGUUUACACAGCUUGGAGACGGGGACAGAGUUCUCUGGCGACCAUGCAGCGGCGUGCAAUCGCCCUAAAGAGAAACAUUUAGAAGCGAUAAAACCUAAAUGCCCUGCCAUGCACCAUUACAUCCCACAGUUAUUCAAAUUUAGUAAGUUAAAUUAAAUAAUAUCAAAUAACUUGAUUUCGGGGCUUUAAAAAUUCAUCUCUAUGGUGCCCAGUAGUCAAUUUCCUUUAUUAUUAUUGUUCAUCAAGUAGGAUUUAUGUUUUUUAUGAAUCAGGAUCCUCGCCUGCGCCAUCCGCAGCGCUCGUGGCGGGCCCGGUGAGUCGCAGCUCGGAGCGCCAUCUACCGGCUGUUUUCUGCACGGCCGCCGGGAGGCUGCGCGCCGGCCCCAGGGUGGGGGAGAGGCCCAGGGAGCCAGGACGGCCCAGCGCGCUGGCCCUGAAAACAUCAGAGACAGGACAGAGCUCUCAGCCGCUGUGCUCACAGCUUCUUUGGUCUCGGUCACUGGGGGUCCGCCUGAAGUCGCAGGGAGAAGCCGGAGAGACUGGCUGCUGAGGCUGGAGGAGUUUUUCUUCUGCUGCAAAGCUGACACGUGUGGUGGUGGUGUUCCGCGCCUCCCGUUCUUCUUUAUAAAAGCCCAGACAUCCAAUUAAACUGCUGUGUCCCGGCGUAUCUGGGAAGCCAUUCCUGCAUGACUCAAAGCCUUUCUCUGCUCUCGCACAUUCCUGUUAGACGAGGACACUGGAUGUUUAGGCACAGUAGCUGCUGAUGCCAAAAAGUCCCCCAGGGAAAGACAAUGAUAAAUUUUGUCAUGUGUUAUGUUUUUAAAAAGUAUUUUACUUCCAGGGAAAUCUUUUCCCUUUAACAUUUCUGAAAAGGAGUUGAAUUCUGGUGUGGUGGGGGCAAUGGCAAGCCAUUGGUUUUCUUAGUGGCAGGUUUCCAUUUACGCUUAAUUUGAUUGUAGUUUAGCAAAUAAACAACCAUCAGACAAUGGCAGUGUGUGUUGAAGGAAGGAAAUCCCUUCAAAGCAAAGUUAAACUAUUCCCUAAUUCAAACCUCUCUGGCACCUUUGUUUGAUCUAUCUUGCUUCAGUAAAGUUCCAUGAGUGUGACACUUAGAAGUUUGCUCACAUUUUCAAGUAAUAUCAUAAUCCGAGCAUCCCAACAGGGCAUCCAAGAAAUUCCUUUUCUUCUCUAAGCUUCUAAACAGAGUGCUCAGCAUGGAUAUGUGUGUCUGAAAGUGCCUUCCAACUGAUCAGCUGUCUCCUCUCUCUCUCCCCCCAGUCAAGUGUUUCAACAUAGCAACAGAUGGUGUUUUAAGCUUUUUGCUGAGUUUAGUAUGGUCUUUUUUUGCUUUCCCAGGAGGACUGUGGUGAUAAGUCCACUCUGCCAUUAAUAAGUUCAAAUGAGAUGGUACAACUUUCUCUUAGAAAUUAAACUAACUUCACUGAGUCCCAUGAUUUAGUGUUGUUAAUGCAUUUUUCUUUCUGUUUUUCUUUUCUUUUUUUUCUUUCUUUUUUUUUUUUAGACAGAGUCUUGCUGUCACCCAGGCUGCAGUGCAGUGGCGUGAUCUCUGCUCACUGCAACCUCUGCUUCCCGGGUUCAAGCAAUUCUCUUGCCUCAUCCUCCUGAGUAGCUGGGAUUAGAGGUAUGUGCCACCACGCCCGGCUAAUUUUUUGUAUUUUUAGUGGAGAUGGGGUUUCACCAUGUUUGCCAAGCUGGUCUUGAACUCCUGACCUCAGGUGAUACUCCUGCCUCGGCCUCCAAGUGCUGGGAUUACAGGCAUGAGCCACCAUGCCCAGGCGUUAAAGCAUUUUUCAAAAGGAGUUCUCCUUCCCUUUCCUUAAAAGUAAACCUCUCUCUCUACCUUAUACCAUCACUCUAUAGUUUCCAGGCAUUUUCUUCAGAUGUUUGUGCAGAAAAGAAAUGUAAGAAAAAAGUUGCCAGACUGGAAGCAAAAUCACACAAUUUAUAUUUAUUUUGCAUGUGUUAGGUUACAAAUCUCUGGAGAUUUUAAGAUCAUUCUACUCUUCAAGCAAGAGUCAAAACUAAGUAACAUCCUCCAUUUGACUUAAGAGGAACAGAGUGAAUCAUGCUAGAAGGUCUUUUUUCUGAGACUGCAUUUACCAAAGAAAAUCCAAUUCUUAAAGGACCUCCAGAGAGCCUUCCUCCUUGUUGUUCAGUGGUGUGAGGAAAGAUCAGAGACUCUUUUGCUAGGCUGUUGAAGUUCGAGGUGAAAUCAUCUUUUCUUCACUUGUUAACUGAAGGCAAACCCUUCGAAAUAUCCUGGCCUUGUUGUUCAUGUUGUUUUUGCAUUUUUAUCAUCAGGGUCACUUUUGUUAUAGAUUUGUCAUAGUGUGGAUCAACCUGCAUUCUUGUCAGGGUUUGCAAGCCUCCCUGCCAACGUGCUGAUCCAGUGCCUGUCCUGGAGUUACCCACCUCAUCCUGGUCUGUCUUUCUUAGAACAAUGACUUUCUAGCUCUAGCCUAAUACAAUAAUUUGUUUGGUGGUUUAAAGGAGUUGGCCAAGAAACACAGGCAAGAGCUAGCAUUCCCAAACUUAAUCCUUAAUCUGUUUGUCUUACUUGUUUAUGGAGAAAAACAGAAACAAAAUCACCCUAAGAUUGUGCUAUCUGAAACCAAAACACCUCCAGGAAGAUGUUCCAGGCUGAAUGUCCCACCCCCCUUCCCUCCCCCUGCUACCCCUCCAAUUCACAUGUUGAAGUUCUAAUGCCCAGUACCUCAGAAUGAGACUGUGUUUGGAGACAGGGUCUUUAUAGAGGUACUUAAGUUAGAAUAAGGUUAUUAGGAUGGGCUUUAUCCAAUAUGGUGAGUGUUCUUAUAAGAGGAGGAAAUUUAGAUACAGACACGAGCAGAGGGAAGACCCUCUUCAUGAGAAGACACAGAAAGCAGACAGCCAUCUAAAGCCAAGGAGAGAGGCCUGGAAUGGUCUUUCUCUCACAGUUCUCAAGAGGAACCAACCUUGCCUACACCUUGAUUUUGGACUUCCAGCCUUCAGAACUGUGAGACAAUAAAUGUCUGCUGUUUAAGUCACACAGUCUGUGACGCUUUGUUAUGGCAACCCCAGCCCUAGCUGAGGUGAGGGAAUUAAUUCAGUCAUCCAUAUAUUUUGAUAUUCCAAAAUAACUUCCAUUAUUUAGAAGAGCCUGCAGGCAGGGAGAUGUGGUGUGCUUUGGGAAUUCCUUGAUGGUGCAUUAAACGAGGCCCU
RNAcentral lists this long non-coding RNA (11659 nucleotides) under Homo sapiens (human). RNAcentral's name for it is "HSALNT0347180". The record is from RNAcentral. Lineage: Eukaryota; Metazoa; Chordata; Mammalia; Primates; Hominidae.